Molecule: non-coding RNA, 102 nt
Organism: Podospora conica
Lineage: Eukaryota; Fungi; Ascomycota; Sordariomycetes; Sordariales; Podosporaceae
Source: the annotation of a GenBank genome assembly
GGCUCUGUGGUCUAGUCGUAUGAUUCGCGCUUCGGGAACAAUCCCCUCUCAUCUCAUGAGAGUCACUGUGCGAGGUCCCGGGUUCAAAUCCCGGCAGAGCCC